RNAcentral lists this ribosomal RNA (1124 nucleotides) under Colletotrichum graminicola. RNAcentral describes it as "eukaryotic LSU rRNA". It matches the Rfam family "Eukaryotic large subunit ribosomal RNA", at positions 913 to 2041 of the family's 3401-position model. Lineage: Eukaryota; Fungi; Ascomycota; Sordariomycetes; Glomerellales; Glomerellaceae. The record is from RNAcentral.
ACGUAUAGGGGCAAAAGACUAAUUAAACCUUCUAGUAGCUAGUUUCUGCUAAAGUUUCCCUUAGGAUAGUAGUAUUAAACUUAGUUUUAUAAGGUAAAGUAAAUAAUUAGGGACUUAGAGGCGCUAUAUAGCCUUUAUCUAUUCUUAAACUUUAAAUAUAUAAGAAGCCCUUAUUACUUAAUUAAACGUAGGUAUUUAAAUAUAUUAACACUAGUAGGCUAUUUUUAGUAAGCAGAACUAGCGAUACAGGAUAAACUAAACGCGAGGUUAAGGUGCUAAAGUAGUUACUUAUUAGACACUACAAAAGGUGUUAGUACAUCUUAACAGUAAGAUAGUGGCUAUAGAAGUCAGAAUCCGCUAAGGACUAUAUAAUAACUUACCUACUAAAUAUACUAGCCCUAAAAAUAGAUGGCGCUUAAGUAACUUACCUAUACCUUACCCUUAGUGUAGAAAUAAUACGCUAAGGAGUAGGCAGACGUAGAGGUUAGUAAUAAAGCCUAGGGCGUAAGCCUAAGUAGAACAGCCUCUAGUGUAAAUCUUAGUAGUAGUAGUAAAUACUUUAAUAAGAACUUAAAGGACUAAAGUAGGGAAAGGUUCUAUAUAAAUAGCAGUUAGAUAUAGGUUAGUUAAUCCUAAGCUAUAGGGAAGUUCUGUUUUAAAGGGGUACUUAUGCCCUGUAUAGCAAAAGGGAAGCCGGUUAAUAUUCCAGCACCUAGAUGUGGGUUUUGCGCGGCAACGUAACUAAACGCGGAGACAAUAGCAGGGGCCUUAGGCAGAGUUCUCUUUUCUUCUUAACGGUCUAUUACCCUAAAAUUAGUUUGUCUAGAGCUAGGGUUUAACGGCUGGAAGAGCCUAGCACUUCUGUUAGGUCUAGUGUGCUCUUAACGUCUCUUAAAAAUCUGCAGGAAGGAAUAAUUCUUACGCUAGGUUAUACUUAUAACUGCAGUAGGUCUCUAAGGUAAAUAGCCUCUAGUUAAUAGAAUAAUAUAGAUAAGAGAAGUUAGCAAAACAGAUCUAUAACUUUAGGAUAAGGAUUAGCUCUAAGGGUUAGGUACGUUAGGCUUUAGGCGGACGGCCUGGGAGUAGGUCGCCACUAGCUAGGUAACUAGCUAGAGGCUUCUAGU